This 497-nucleotide ribosomal RNA is filed under the name uncultured bacterium. RNAcentral describes it as "partial 16S ribosomal RNA". It matches the Rfam family "Bacterial small subunit ribosomal RNA", at positions 899 to 1397 of the family's 1533-position model. The record is from RNAcentral.
ACUCAAAGGAAUUGACGGGGGCCCGCACAAGCGGCGGAGCAUGCGGAUUAAUUCGAUGCAACGCGAAGAACCUUACCUGGGUUUGACAUGGACGGAAAUCCGGCAGAGAUGUCGGGUCCUUCGGGGCCGUCUGCAGGUGGUGCAUGGCUGUCGUCAGCUCGUGUCGUGAGAUGUUGGGUUAAGUCCCGCAACGAGCGCAACCCUUGUCCGAUGUUGCCAGCGGGUUAUGCCGGGGACUCAUCGGAGACUGCCGGGGUCAACUCGGAGGAAGGUGGGGAUGACGUCAAGUCAUCAUGCCCCUUAUGUCCAGGGCUUCACGCAUGCUACAAUGGCCGGUACAAAGGGCUGCGAUACCGUGAGGUGGAGCGAAUCCCAAAAAGCCGGUCUCAGUUCGGAUCGGGGUCUGCAACUCGACCCCGUGAAGUCGGAGUCGCUAGUAAUCGCAGAUCAGCAACGCUGCGGUGAAUACGUUCCCGGGCCUUGCACACACCGCCCGU